Non-coding RNA from Parasteatoda tepidariorum (common house spider), 782 nucleotides. The record is from RefSeq and is a predicted model, not a curated record. Lineage: Eukaryota; Metazoa; Arthropoda; Arachnida; Araneae; Theridiidae.
AUUGCACCAAUUCAAAUUUAGCUGUAUUAUCGAAUUUGAUUCGUGCAAUGUUUACACAAGUUUGGUUUGUUUAUCACAAUAUUAAAGAAAAUUCAAAAUAGAAAAUGCAUUUUUUUGAGAAAAGCUGUUUCUUUCAGUAUUUUUAAAAAACAGUAAUAUUGUUGACUUCUUAUUAAUUUUUGAAGGCCCUUAACCCGAACCUAUUUGGCCUAGGCGAUUCUAAUUUUUUGGUUUAAUGAAUUUCCUACAUGUUAAGCACUUUGAAUAUUACUAAUCGGUGUGAUUUUUUCAUUUUUAGAAAAAGCUGAACCUGAACAUAUUUUUCCGAUAGAUAGUGAGGCUUUAGAUGAAACAGUAGAUCAAGAAUCACAGAAUGGUGUGACCGUAACGCCAUGUCCUCCAACACCAGUGGCAGGAACGGAGGAAACUCCUGCAAAAGCCAGUUUAAAAGCCACCUAUUCCAUGUUCAGAAAGCAGAGGAAAAAAUAUGCCCCCUCUGCAGCCCAAAAGGCUGCUUCUUCUAUUGAAGAAAAAUACAGAUUGGAAAUUCAAGUUUUAAAGAGUAAAGAGGAGAGGGACGUGGAAGAACACAUGUUAAAGAUGAGGCUGCGGUCUGCGCAAAUUCAAGUUUUAAAGAGUAAAGAGGAGAGGGACGUGGAAGAACACAUGUUAAAGAUGAGGCUGCUGUCUGCGCAGAUCAAGUUUCAGGAGAAUUUAAACAGAAUCUUGCACACUAAUCCCACCUCUUUAAACAUUUCAUUAAAUAAAUAAGUGUUUUAUUA